RNAcentral lists this ribosomal RNA (524 nucleotides) under soil bacterium LMF-P1-32. RNAcentral's name for it is "bacterial SSU rRNA". It matches the Rfam family "Bacterial small subunit ribosomal RNA", at positions 355 to 889 of the family's 1533-position model. The record is from RNAcentral.
UGGGGAAUAUUGCACAAUGGGCGAAAGCCUGAUGCAGCGACGCCGCGUGAGGGAUGACGGCCUUCGGGUUGUAAACCUCUUUCAGCAGGGAAGAAGCGAAAGUGACGGUACCUGCAGAAGAAGCGCCGGCUAACUACGUGCCAGCAGCCGCGGUAAUACGUAGGGCGCGAGCGUUGUCCGGAAUUAUUGGGCGUAAAGAGCUCGUAGGCGGCUUGUCACGUCGGUUGUGAAAGCCCGGGGCUUAACCCCGGGUCUGCAGUCGAUACGGGCAGGCUAGAGUUCGGUAGGGGAGAUCGGAAUUCCUGGUGUAGCGGUGAAAUGCGCAGAUAUCAGGAGGAACACCGGUGGCGAAGGCGGAUCUCUGGGCCGAUACUGACGCUGAGGAGCGAAAGCGUGGGGAGCGAACAGGAUUAGAUACCCUGGUAGUCCACGCCGUAAACGGUGGGCACUAGGUGUGGGCAACAUUCCACGUUGUCCGUGCCGCAGCUAACGCAUUAAGUGCCCCUGCUGGGGAGUACGGCCGC